This 518-nucleotide long non-coding RNA is filed under the name Anser brachyrhynchus (Pink-footed goose). RNAcentral's name for it is "lncRNA (ENSABRG00000009835.1)". Lineage: Eukaryota; Metazoa; Chordata; Aves; Anseriformes; Anatidae. The record is from RNAcentral.
AUGAGAAGCUUGUGUGCCUCAAUGCUCUUUUCCUCCCCAUCCAUAGAUGUCAGCCUAAUAAAAGAUGUCACAGCCAGAGGCCAGGUGUACCACAAUCCCACCCUCGUACCUCUGAGGACAGCUCUUCAAGCUCCAGGCUUUCAUGCUCCUAAGAUGGGAUCCGGUGUCUCUCCCAUGACUUGCCUUCAUCCUUCCGUUCCAGUUGCCUGUGAUCCCAGCUGGUCCUGGCUCAGCAGGCUUCCUGAUGGGAGCCGCGUGGCCCUGCACCCAUACAGGGCCUACAGUGUAUUAUAUGUCACAGGAAAUAUCGGUGUAACUGCACAUUGUAAUUUGCUUGCAGCACAUAUCAUUGAGCAUAUCAAUGAAAUAUUUGACAACGAUAGCAACACAGAAAAAAUCUGUUUUUAUGAUCUAGCAGACUUUUUUUAUCACGUUGACUCUCUUGUUAUUUGUUGGUGGUGUAAUAUCAUAACAAGAAGCACUGUGUAACCAAUAAAGUGGAAGUGUUACUUAUAACA